This 269-nucleotide long non-coding RNA is filed under the name Elaeis guineensis (African oil palm). RNAcentral's name for it is "long non-coding RNA (EGUI_LNC020311)". The record is from RNAcentral. Lineage: Eukaryota; Viridiplantae; Streptophyta; Magnoliopsida; Arecales; Arecaceae.
CUCUCGGGAAGAAGCAGGAACCGAAGGAAAAUCUCAAGCAAAGUAAAACCUCUGAAGGAGGGGGGCGGGCUUAAAUAGGCCUCUGGGUCCGGUGCAAUGAUGAUUGCAGAUCUCUUUUGGUCGAUCUGUAAUUGCUGCGUGUCCCACUCGUCGUGGCAGGCGGCUGACAAUUGAUAGAAUCAUUAUUACAUCGUACCUAGAGCAACGUUCCAGCGAGAAUUCCAAAAAAAUCUUUUCGGGUUACCUCGAUUUGAAAAGACUCCCGCACC